This 228-nucleotide long non-coding RNA is filed under the name Elaeis guineensis (African oil palm). RNAcentral describes it as "long non-coding RNA (EGUI_LNC076198)". The record is from RNAcentral. Lineage: Eukaryota; Viridiplantae; Streptophyta; Magnoliopsida; Arecales; Arecaceae.
AAAAAAAAAUAAGAGAGCUCCGAAGCACGUGUCUCGCACGACGUUCUGCGGUGCCAUCCAUAGACUCGAUCUUGUCGUGAAAUGUGAUGGAAUCUGGCAACGCUAUAGGCUCGAAACCAAUUGAAGUCGAGUGAAUUUUGCUGCCGAACGCCGACAAAGAGAUAGCGGCACCAUCGACGAGGUCUAUCAUGGGCCGGAAUCUUCGAGCCGGAGCAACCAACGAAUGGG